GGCGCUUUGGCUUUGGCAGCGGUCCAAGUUCCUUGGAACAGGACGUCACAGAGGGUGAGAAUCCCGUACGUGGUCGCUGGCUAUUGCCGUGUAAAGCCCCUUCGACGAGUCGAGUUGUUUGGGAAUGCAGCUCUAAAUGGGAGGUACAUUUCUUCUAAAGCUAAAUAUUGGCCAGAGACCGAUAGCGCACAAGUAGAGUGAUCGAAAGAUGAAAAGCACUUUGGAAAGAGAGUCAAACAGCACGUGAAAUUGUUGAAAGGGAAGCGCUUGCAGCCAGACUUGCUUACAGUUGCUCAUCCGGGUUUCUACCCGGUGCACUCUUCUGUAGGCAGGCCAGCAUCAGUUUGGGCGGUAGGAUAAAGGUCUCUGUCACGUACCUCCUUUCGGGGAGGCCUUAUAGGGGAGACGACAUACUACCAGCCUGGACUGAGGUCCGCGCAUCUGCUAGGAUGCUGGCGUAAUGGCUGUAAGCGGCCCGUCU
This 481-nucleotide ribosomal RNA is filed under the name Alternaria alternata. RNAcentral's name for it is "eukaryotic LSU rRNA". It matches the Rfam family "Eukaryotic large subunit ribosomal RNA", at positions 158 to 654 of the family's 3401-position model. The record is from RNAcentral. Lineage: Eukaryota; Fungi; Ascomycota; Dothideomycetes; Pleosporales; Pleosporaceae.